UCCUAGCCCAGAUAGGAGCGACAUCCUUUUGUGCCGGGGUUCGGCGCAAAAGAUACAGCGGAUAGCUGGAAAUAGC
This 76-nucleotide small RNA is filed under the name Flavobacterium sp. fv08. Its description in RNAcentral is "Flavo-1 RNA". It matches the Rfam family "Flavo-1 RNA". Lineage: Bacteria; Pseudomonadati; Bacteroidota; Flavobacteriia; Flavobacteriales; Flavobacteriaceae. RNAcentral also lists the same sequence under 1 other name. The record is from RNAcentral.